This is a long non-coding RNA of Mus musculus (house mouse), 2018 nucleotides long. RefSeq annotates it as predicted gene, 30224. The transcript has 3 exons. The record is from RefSeq and is marked validated. Lineage: Eukaryota; Metazoa; Chordata; Mammalia; Rodentia; Muridae.
AAAAGAAACAUCAACUGCCAAGGGCACAACACAGGAGCUUGCCUGGAAAUGGAUAGACCUGAAAGAGGAGACUAGUCCCAGCCAUUGCAAAGCCAUCCUGGAGAACUUUCCUAUGGGGUUUUGACGCUUUGAGUGAAAAGAAUGGGGUGGGCUAACCCACCCCCUGGUGAGUCUGCAAGGCUUCUGGGUGAAAACGAUCGACCUGUUGUCCUGGAGGAAAGAAUCAUGAGCAAAGGAAAUGACUCUGUCACUAGGACACAGCUGGGUGGCUGGGUCGGUUCCAGUUUUCUCACCCUGCUGAGAACUACUGUGGUACAGCAGACUGUGGUUUAAGUGAAGUGAUAACGGAUCAAGCUGUACUUUUGAUCAGUUGAGCUCACUGCUGUCCACAAUUCCUUUGGAAUCUCAGAAGCCAACCAGUCAUGUGAUUGACACACACCGGAAGCCACCAUGGCAAUCAGGUCAGCACCAGGCAGCUUCACUUUCCCUUGAUCAUCCUCCUGUAUCUGUUGGUUGAGCUUGUGAGUCUUCUCCUAGUCACACCAGAACUCUCAGCCAACCGCUAUCCAUGUGUACGUCGUGUGGGAUCGGAGCCUCUCUCCUCGUGGACAGAUUCCAUUGAUUGUUCUCCAGUGUGAGCCACAGAUCGCUUGGGAGAGCACACUCAUCGAACCUGCUUCCUGGCCGCAUCAUUCAGACAUCUCUGCACAGAGCAGGAAGCUGUCCUCUGGCACUGUGUGAGCCUGCGGUGUGCUGUCAGUGCUGAACUGUGCGUCUCCGGCUGGUUGCUGUUGGGCCUGUUCCAGAAACACAUCCUCAAGGCUCACUACCAGCCCUGCCUUCUCCAAGAGUGCUCUCUGAGCAUCCUUCCCAGGGCAGUCUCUCACGUCUGGACCACAGCUUGACAUUUGACUUGUAUGUCUUUACUCUCUCUGAAUUCCACCAAGUGUCAGCUCCAUGGGGGCAGAGACUGUGUCAUAUUCAUUUGAACAUCAAGAUAGAAUUAUAGAGUCAUCGUUUCUACAGUUUUUUUUUAAGAGCAAUCAAAGACAUGCCAGUGUGUUGGUUGGUUUUUGCUUGUUUGUUUUCGUCUACUUGACACAAGCCAGGAUCACGUGGGAAGAGAUAGCUUCAGUUGAGAAAGGACUGUAUCAGGCUGGCCUGUAGGCGAGUCUGUGGGGCAUUUCCCUGAUUAACGAUUGCCACGGAAAGGCCCAGCCUUCUGUGGGUGGUGCCGGCUCUGAGCAGGUUGUCCUAGGCUGUAUAAGAAAGGUUGUUGAACCACGCAGGGGAAGGAGGUAACAUCCCUCCAGCCUCUCUACUUCAGUUCCAGCCUUAAGUGCCUGCCCUGGCUUCCCUGGUAGAAUAACCCCCCUGCUUUUGGUCAUGGUGUUUUAUCACAAUAGCAGAAGGCAAACUAAAACUGUCACCAAGGAAAGGACAAAGUGGAUUCUGACUCUCUAAGUGGUACAGUCGCAGUAGUGGGAAGGGAUACACGAGAUACAGGACACAGAAAGCAGUCGUGUUUGCAGCUCCUGGGUCCCAACACAGCCCUCUGGUUCUCAUACAAAGGCCCACGCAUGUUGCUAGGGUUAAGACGUGGCCCAUCCCCUUAAGGUUCAUGUGGCAAGAGUUUUGUCUCAAGUGUGGUGGUGUCAAGGUCCUAGACCCUUUCAAAGGUGGCCUGGAGGAAGGGCCGUAGGUAAAGAGGCGUCUGCCCUUAGCAGAAAUGAGUGAUUUUCUUACAGGGCUGUGUUGGGUCUCUGUGAGAGCUAGUCAUUAUGAGGUGAGGCCAUGCCCUAUGCCUGACCCCUUCUGCAUGGGACCACGCUCUCUUCUGCUUCUCCACCGUGUUACAGUGUAGCCAGGAGGGUCCUCAGCAGAUGCUGUUACCAUGCUGAAUGCACAUUGCAGCCACCAGCAUGAUGAACCAAAUUCAACGUCUUUUCUUUGUAUUUUGAUAUCUUGUUCUAGUAAUACAAAAUAGACUAAGGAGGGAAUUAAAUGGUUUUUUAUUA